AUUGAACGCUGGCGGCAUGCUUUACACAUGCAAGUCGAACGGCAGCGCGGGCUUCGGCCUGGCGGCGAGUGGCGAACGGGUGAGUAAUACAUCGGAACGUGCCCAGUAGUGGGGGAUAGCUCGGCGAAAGCCGGAUUAAUACCGCAUACGACCUGAGGGUGAAAGCGGGGGAUCUUCGGACCUCGCGCUAUUGGAGCGGCCGAUGGCAGAUUAGCUAGUCGGUGGGGUAAAGGCCUACCAAGGCGACGAUCUGUAGCUGGUCUGAGAGGACGACCAGCCACACUGGAACUGAGACACGGCCCAGACUCCUACGGGAGGCAGCAGUGGGGAAUUUUGGACAAUGGGCGAAAGCCUGAUCCAGCAAUGCCGCGUGUGUGAUGAAGGCCUUCGGGUUGUAAAGCACUUUUGGCGGGAACGAAAAGGACUGUGCCAAUACCACGGUUCGAUGACGGUACCCGCAGAAUAAGCACCGGCUAACUACGUG
This 484-nucleotide ribosomal RNA is filed under the name uncultured bacterium. Its description in RNAcentral is "partial 16S ribosomal RNA". It matches the Rfam family "Bacterial small subunit ribosomal RNA", at positions 29 to 507 of the family's 1533-position model. The record is from RNAcentral.